CAGAACAAAAGCUAUUCGGAGGUGGCGAUCGAAGGUGGACAGCAAGAUCGAAGCUCAGCAAGAUUGAAGAUUGUUCGAGGAAGAAGGAGUUCGCCGUUGACUAAAAGGUUUAUCUGAACAGCUAGUUGUCAAGAUGAAGGUGAAGACUCGCCCGGCCAAAUUCAAAAUGGCGAUGCCAAAGAAAACCAUCCACGUGGACCGUUCGCGGACCUUUCCGAGCA
RNAcentral lists this long non-coding RNA (221 nucleotides) under Dendronephthya gigantea. Its description in RNAcentral is "uncharacterized LOC114538438, transcript variant X2". Lineage: Eukaryota; Metazoa; Cnidaria; Anthozoa; Malacalcyonacea; Nephtheidae. The record is from RNAcentral.